RNAcentral lists this transfer RNA (102 nucleotides) under Microscilla marina ATCC 23134. It matches the Rfam family "tRNA". Rfam says of the family: Transfer RNA (tRNA) molecules are approximately 80 nucleotides in length. Their secondary structure includes four short double-helical elements and three loops (D, anti-codon, and T loops). Lineage: Bacteria; Pseudomonadati; Bacteroidota; Cytophagia; Cytophagales; Microscillaceae. The record is from Rfam by way of RNAcentral.
GGACUUGUAGCAUAGUGGCUUAAUGCACCCGACUGUCGCUCCCCCUGAUGAAUAUCAGGAAAAGACAAACAAGCAACGUGGGUUCGAAUCCCAUCAAGUCCG